This 659-nucleotide ribosomal RNA is filed under the name uncultured Bacteroides sp. RNAcentral describes it as "bacterial SSU rRNA". It matches the Rfam family "Bacterial small subunit ribosomal RNA", at positions 67 to 715 of the family's 1533-position model. The record is from RNAcentral. Lineage: Bacteria; Pseudomonadati; Bacteroidota; Bacteroidia; Bacteroidales; Bacteroidaceae.
GGGCAGCAUGGUCUUAGCUUGCUAAGGCCGAUGGCGACCGGCGCACGGGUGAGUAACACGUAUCCCACCUGCCGUCUACUCUUGGACAGCCUUCUGGAAGGAAGAUUAAUACAAGAUGGCAUCAUGAGUUCACAUGUUCACAUGAUUAAAGGUAUUCCGGUAGACGAUGGGGAUGCGUUCCAUUAGAUAGUAGGCGGGGUAACGGCCCACCUAGUCUUCGAUGGAUAGGGGUUCUGAGAGGAAGGUCCCCCACAUUGGAACUGAGACACGGUCCAAACUCCUACGGGAGGCAGCAGUGAGGAAUAUUGGUCAAUGGGCGCAGGCCUGAACCAGCCAAGUAGCGUGAAGGAUGACUGCCCUAUGGGUUGUAAACUUCUUUUAUAAAGGAAUAAAGUCGGGUAUGUAUACCCGUUUGCAUGUACUUUAUGAAUAAGGAUCGGCUAACUCCGUGCCAGCAGCCGCGGUAAUACGGAGGAUUCGAGCGUUAUCCGGAUUUAUUGGGUUUAAAGGGAGCGUAGAUGGAUGUUUAAGUCAGUUGUGAAAGUUUGCGGCUCAACCGUAAAAUUGCAGUUGAUACUGGAUAUCUUGAGUGCAGUUGAGGCAGGCGGAAUUCGUGGUGUAGCGGUGAAAUGCUUAGAUAUCACGAAGAACUCCGAUUG